UACGGGGGGGGUAAGCGUUGUUCGGAAUUACUGGGCGUAAAGGGCUCGUAGGCGGCCAACUAAGUCGGACGUGAAAUCCCUCAGUUUAACUGGGGAACUGCGUCUGAUACUGGAUGGCUUGGAUUCGGGAGAGGAAUGCGGAAUUCCAGGUGUAGCGGUGAAAUGCGUAGAUAUCUGGAGGAACACCGGUGGCGAAGGCGGCAUUCUGGACCGAUAUUGACGCUGAGGAGCGAAAGCCAGGGGAGCAAACGGG
Molecule: ribosomal RNA, 253 nt
Filed under: uncultured bacterium
Lineage: Bacteria
Description: partial 16S ribosomal RNA
Rfam family: Bacterial small subunit ribosomal RNA
Source: RNAcentral